AUGCUGCAUUUUCCCAGCACUUUAGAGUUAGGAGAAAGAAGAGUUGGUUAUAGCCAUUUUUGUGAAGCCCUACCUAGCUUGGUGCUGCUUCUGGACCAGAUUCAGCUGACUUGUAACCACCAGCAAUGCUGUUGCCUAAUUCAGGGGAUGCAAAGUUGCCCACUUGCCUGUGAUGGAAAGGAUCCUCACCCUCACCCUCUCAAAUCUCCUGUAGGCUGGUGUGAGACGAACCAAACCCGACCUUCGGGGAGCGGCAGAGUCUGGAGCCAUGGGACGCCUUGGGAAAAGCGUAAAACACGCUGCUUGUAGUGGCGUCCUGUGACCGAGUCCUCCUGAAGGUAAUGUGGCUGUAAACCUGGAGUAACGCUUCUUUGACUUUUAAUGGUAAUGUGUGGCUUGGUGUGGAGUACUUGAUGCUGUGGAACUUGGGGCUAGAUUUUUUUGGGGUUAUUUUGUUGUACUAUCAUGAACGAAAAGGUACAAAUAAAAUACAGAAAGUUCUCUGCUGUCCUUGGUCAUGGUGCGCUUACUAAAUGUUGUAGAUGUGCUGUAGAUGGACUGGAUUUUAGUGGGGAAAACGCGUGCUGCUGUCCGUGUCGCAGUGUGCACUGUGUGGGCGAGUAGGAGGUGUUUGGGAGUGGGAACUGCCUGUGCAAGGUCUCCCCAAAGGGAGCUGGGAAUCAAAGCCUGAAAUGUUCCCUGAAAUGAUCCGCAACAAGCUGGAAAAGAGGAGAGGGGGGGAAAAAAAAAAAAAAAAAGCUGGAUUUUAUUUGGUUUUGGUGUUUUUUUUUAAAGCACUUUUCACAGUUGUGUUGCGCACUGAGGUUUUCUGGAUCUGGAUGUAUGGGAUGUACUUAUUAUUUUUUACUUAUUUGGGGCAGGUCUGGGGGUGCGUUUUAGGGAUCUUAUUCAGAGACGUGGCCCACAGCUGGAUUACCGUGCCCAUCUAGUUCUGAUGGUGCUCCAAAGGGUUAACUUCUGCCAAACCUGAUCAAGCCGGAGAAUUUAAUUCAGGUCCUCUAUUGAGAUAAUUUUCUCCUCCUCCUCUGGGGGCGGGCCUGGGCCUUCUGGCCCCGCCCUCCCCCCAGCCGGAGCCCCGCCCCGGGGCGGUGCUUACCGUCAGCCCCUCCCUCCCGCCGUGCGUGGCGUCGCGGGGCGGGGCCGCAGCCUCCCUCUAACGGUCGGCGCCGCCCCUGC
Molecule: long non-coding RNA, 1197 nt
Filed under: Accipiter nisus (Eurasian sparrowhawk)
Lineage: Eukaryota; Metazoa; Chordata; Aves; Accipitriformes; Accipitridae
Description: lncRNA (ENSANIG00000010008.1)
Source: RNAcentral